CCUACGAGUUGCAAGAGAUGUAAACAAUUGUGUAAAAUAACGAAACGGGCAUUCGUAUUAGCUUGGACAUUGUGCCGUAUUCGGUCUCACCUAACGACCUCGAGCGUUUUGUGUAUCUUCGCUUGUAUCGAUCCAAAUUGAUCCCACAUAUCACGAUACAGUCUUUGUUGAGAGCCACUCCAUGAGAACGACUAAUGGGUAGAAGAUGGACGAUGGACAGAUAUGGAGAACAGAACGGCGCAUCGCGUUAGUCCAAACCAAACAAAUAGGCCGCAACAAAACCAAAAGAAAAAACCAUACAUGCGUUAUCUACAAUGUUGGGAUGCUGGAAGCCUGUUUUUCAAGCUUGUGGACUAAUUUUACAACUGACCGUCGUCAAAUCCAGGAAGAUGGGAUAUAUAUCGAAAUACGAAUACGCGAAUUCACCGGCAGAUGAAAAUAUCUCGAGUAAUUCUGUAUUUUAGGCAAAAUAAUAGACAACGCUUAUAUAUAGACGAGCACGCAGCAUGAUAUUCGUGAACUUGCGUAUGAUCGAAGGCAGAUAUGGUUAAAGCAUCUUCAUAUCACGUAAUAAAUGAUGAAAUAAAUGAAAUAAAAGUAAGACUGCAA
Bombus terrestris (buff-tailed bumblebee) is the source of this 609-nucleotide long non-coding RNA. RefSeq lists it as uncharacterized. NCBI's taxonomy places the organism in Eukaryota, Metazoa, Arthropoda, Insecta, Hymenoptera, Apidae. The transcript is spliced from 2 exons. The record is from RefSeq and is a predicted model, not a curated record.